AUGGAGGCGAGGCGGAUCUCGGCGACCCCCCGGCCGUGCAACGGCCGGCGCGUGGUGGCGAGGAAGAGGCCGAGGCAGGAGGCGGUCAUCAGCAGCGUCAGGAAGCUGCAGCGCCGGGAGAUCAGCUCCCGCCGGGAACGCUCCUUCGCCAUGAACUCCGCGCAGGAGCGCUUCCGCAACAUACAGCUGCAGGAGGAGUUUGACACUCAUGAUCCUAAGGAGAACAAUGCGCUACUACCUUACAUUAGGAAGAGGUCAAAAAUUAUUGAGAUAGUUGCAGCACGUGAUAUAGUUUUUGCUUUAUCACAAUCAGGAGUAUGUGCUGCUUUUAGUAGAGUGACGAAUAAGAGAAUAUGCUUUCUAAAUGGGAGUCCAGAUGAAGUUGUUCGUAGUUUAUUCUACAACAAGAACAAUGAUUCCCUCAUUACUGUGUCAGUAUAUGGUUCUGAAAAUUUUAGUGCCUUGCGAUGCAAGACAACUCGAAUAGAGUAUAUACGUCGUGGAACACCAGAUGCUGGUUUCCCUCUUUUUGAGACAGAGUCCUUGAAAUGGCCUGGAUUUGUUGAGUUUGAUGAUGUCAAUGGAAAGGUUUUAACUUAUUCCGCUCAAGACAGCACUUACAAGGUUUUCGACUUGAAAAACUACACCCUACUGUAUUCCAUAUCUGACAAGAAUGUUCAAGAAAUAAAGAUCAGUCCUGGUAUAAUGCUUUUGAUUUAUACAAGAACAAGCAGCUCCAUUCCUCUGAAGAUUCUUAAUAUUGAGGAUGGCACAGUUUUGAAAUUCUUCAACCACCUCCUCCAUCGAAAUAAGAAGGUGGAUUUCAUUGAACAGUUUAAUGAAAAGCUCUUGGUCAAGCAGGAUGGAGAGAAUCUUCAAAUACUUGAUGUACGGAACUUCCAGUUGACUGAAGUGAGCAGUACUGAGUUCAUGACUCCAUCUGCCUUCAUCUUUCUGUAUGAACUCCAGUUGUUUUUGACAUUCCGGAAUCGAUCUGUAGCAGUUUGGAAUUUCCGAGGUGAACUAGUAACAUCAUUUGAGGAUCACCUGCUGUGGCACCCUGACUGCAAUACCAAUAACAUAUACAUAACCAGUGAUCAAGAUCUUAUUAUUUCUUACUGCAAGGCUGAUUCCACUGAUUCAUCUUCAGAGGAAAAUGCUGGCUCUAUAAACAUCAGCAACAUACUGACAGGGAAAUGCUUGGCUAAAAUAAAGGCUGGCAAUUUCAACGAGCAAAAGAAGACGUGGAAGUUCCAGAAUACAAUCACAGAGGCUCUUGAGGACAUCACAGCUCUGUACUACGACGAAGAGCGUGAUGAGAUCUACACCGGCAACCGUCAUGGCCUUGUUCAUGUGUGGGCGAACUGA
RNAcentral lists this ribosomal RNA (1368 nucleotides) under Triticum aestivum (bread wheat). RNAcentral describes it as "partial small subunit ribosomal RNA". Lineage: Eukaryota; Viridiplantae; Streptophyta; Magnoliopsida; Poales; Poaceae. The record is from RNAcentral.